UGGGGAAUAUUGGACAAUGGGGGGAACCCUGAUCCAGCCAUGCCGCGUGUGUGAAGAAGGCCUUAUGGUUGUAAAGCACUUUAAGCGAGGAGGAGGGUACUGGUAUUAAUACUACCAGGUACUGGACGUUACUCGCAGAACAAGCACCGGCUAACUCUGUGCCAGCAGCCGCGGUAAUACAGAGGGUGCGAGCGUUAAUCGAAUUUACUGGGCGUAAAGCGUGCGUAGGCGGCUAAUUGAGUCGGAUGUGAAAUCCCCGAGCUUAACUUGGGAAUUGCAUUCGAUACUGGUUAGAUAGAGUGUGGGAGAGGAUGGUAGAAUUCCAGGUGUAGCGGUGAAAUGCGUAGAGAUCUGGGGGAAUACAGAUGGCGAAGGCAGCCAUCUGGCCUAACACUGACGCUGAGGUACGAAAGCAUGGGGAGCAAACAGG
This 430-nucleotide ribosomal RNA is filed under the name Pseudomonadota bacterium. RNAcentral describes it as "Proteobacteria bacterium partial 16S ribosomal RNA". It matches the Rfam family "Bacterial small subunit ribosomal RNA", at positions 355 to 776 of the family's 1533-position model. Lineage: Bacteria; Pseudomonadati; Pseudomonadota. The record is from RNAcentral.